Molecule: long non-coding RNA, 925 nt
Filed under: Pongo abelii (Sumatran orangutan)
Lineage: Eukaryota; Metazoa; Chordata; Mammalia; Primates; Hominidae
Description: lincRNA
Source: RNAcentral
UGCUGCUCCGCCGUGUCCCACUCUUCUCGCUCCGCUUUCGCCCCGCAUCUUCCAUCUUCCUUCCAGACCUUGCGGCGACCGAGCCCGCAGUGUCAGUCCCCAGCGGGGACCUGAGUAUGUCGGUGAAGACGAGAGCGGAAGGCGAGGACGACGGCUUCGGGGAAGCGGGUGAUCCGAGGAGACUGCUGGAGCGAUCUUUGCAUUUCCGGGGGUGACUUCCCGGGAAGGGGAAUCGGGAUGUUGGCUUGGAAGGGACCGAAGGGCCCACCUCGACCCGCCCCGAGUGGGUUUGGAGUUGUAGGUGCUGUCUCGGAUGCAGGGCGAGCACCCGCGAGCGGGUCACCAUUCCCGUGAGAGCUGCAGGUCCCCAGCCCUGUUUUACAGAUGGGGAAACUGAGGCAGCUGCUGAAACACUCGCCCAUAUGGGUUUUGCUCCACCCAUUUCCUUCAGCCACUUUACAGACCAGGAGUUGAGGGACUGCUCGAGCUUAAGAGUGUUUAGGGGUGGUUGAGGGUGAGCCCCAUGUUCUGUGCUCUACUCUGUCCCUAUCCGUGCCUUCUCCCAGCGCCACUCUCACGCUCCUGCUUGCUAGACGGGACCCAGCUUCAUCCUCCUCCUGUUUACAUUAAUUGCUCCUGAUCUUCCACACUCCUGAUUUUCCGGAUUCUAACUCCAUCAAAAUGUAACUUGAUGUGUUCAGGCCCGGGGGAGACCUAGGCACUUGAGGGGGACAGGUCCGAGUUUGGCCUGCUGGGCUUAGCAGAAGGGGCUGGCCCGGGGCGGGGAGCGCGAUGCUCUGCUGAGUUAGCAUCUCCAGCCACCUGGCUUUGCUGGUGUGGCCUCACAGCCUUGCCAAAUGUGAGCAGCUUACAGAGCAACCAGUUGCACGUGCUUAAGCUGCCGAGGUGACACAGGGCGUGGUGG